GUUGGUGUCUUGGGGUAAGAGGCUCUUCAGGCUGAAAGGUGAGCAGAGGCUGUCAGAAGCUGGGGAGAUCUGGAUCACCCAAAGCAAACAUGAGCCCUUACUCAGAUCUCACAGCAAAGACCAUCCCUGAAUCUGUCCAUGCAGAGGCCCAGGUCUCUGCCCAGAGCCUUGCUGCCUAGCUCCGCAGCUCCCCAGCUCCAGACCCACCGCUCUCUAGCCUUAGGACAGCUCCACUGGGAUGUCCCUAUGCCCUUCACACUCAGCCUGUGCAGAGAGGGACUGCCGAGACCCAGGCCUGCUCCUGCCACCUCCUUGCUCAAAACCCUCCAUCUACAAACACUUGAGAAAAUGAUUUGGCAUCACAUAUUCAAGUUGAACAUGCGCACGCUCUCCAACCCAGCAAGUCUACUCCUGGGAAUAUACCCAACAGGCAUGUGUACCAAAGACGUAUGCAAGGAUAUUCAAAGCACUAUGCAUAAUAGCCAAGAACUGGAGACCACCCGAUGCCCAUCAACAGACAGUGGUGGAUUCACACAACGGAGUGCUACAAGCUACGGAGAUAGCUGCAAUAUUGAGAAAUCUCACAGACGUCCUGUUGAACAACAGAAAAGACACGACACAGUUCAUACUGUACACCUGCAUUUAUAAAGUUCAAAAAACAGGCAAAACAAACCUGUGGUACCAGAAGACAGGAUAGUGGUCAGCCUUGGGGGCACAUAGUAACUGGCAGGGACCCGCAGGGGCUUCUUUGUGUUAGAUGCCUGACAGAUUUUGAUCGGGAUGUUGGUUCCAUGGGUAUAUUCCUUGUGAAAAUUUACCAAGAUGCAUACUUAUGAUAGGUGAAUUUUUCUGUAUAUGUAUUAUGCUUCAAUAAAAAGCUAAAAUAAAGGAAUAAAUAAAGUCU
Molecule: long non-coding RNA, 904 nt
Organism: Symphalangus syndactylus (siamang)
Lineage: Eukaryota; Metazoa; Chordata; Mammalia; Primates; Hylobatidae
Source: RefSeq, a predicted model, not a curated record